AUCGAUGGUAUCAAAAGCAGCACUAAGGUCUAGGAGCACGAGAACAGAUGCAGAGCCUCGGUCUGAUGCCAUUAAAAGGCCGGUGGUAGCUGGUCCACUGCAAGACGUUGAGGUGCGGGAGGUCCCUCUGCCCCCCCUGGACGUCAAGGGGGCUCCGGCGUACACUGUACCUGCAGUACCUCAUCGAUUGGGAGGGGUACGGUCUGGAGGAGAGGUGCUGGGUGCUGGUGGGGGACAUCUUGGACCCAUCUCUGCUGGGAAACUGAAAAGAUUUGGCAUGGGUUCCAGAUCCUCAAAGUUCUACAGCUGCACCAUCGAGAGCAUCCUGACCGGUUACGUCACCGCCUGGUAUGGAAACUGCUCGGCAUCCGACCGUAAGCUGCCAAAAGUAGUUUCACUGCCUAGUCUCCACCCAGGCCUGGCAGGACUCCCUGGCAUCAACCUGACACCUUGGGAGAAUUGGGCCUUUGGGCCUAGCGUGUGAAAGCAGAGGAGGUGUUGAUGGUCUGAUGUAACUGCCCUACAUCCAAGGGUACUCUACAGACAGUCGGCUUUCAGGGGUUAGUUUUAGCUUGGUCCCAGAUCUGUUUCUGCUCUCUUCUCAAACCUUAUGGAAUUCUCAUGUGAAGUUUGGCAUGACAAUGACAAUGGAGUAGGCAAAAGCAGAAACAGAUCUGGGACCAGGCUAAGCUAGUAUAGUAAAGUAGUGUUGCAGUGACAGAUGAUGAUGAGGAAUAUCAUAAUAUCCUCAUGGUUGACCGUAAGCUGUUGUCCACUUUGUUCUGAUUAGUGUACAUGUAUUGGAUUGUUGUGUUGUCAAGAUAAUAUUACAGAACACCUACUGUAUGAGACUGAUAGCAGCAACUUAUUCAGUAACGCAAAACAAUCACCCAAUUAAGGAACAAAACUGCACCCAUCUAUGACAAUACAUUGCUGAUCAAAUCAGGUUCUAUCCUCUUAUCUAAAAUGUAGGCUAGAUUUCUGUUCCAGGGUCUUUUUUUCAGUAGCUGGUGAACCGUCAGACAGCACAAAAGAUCCCCUCGACACUUUCCCUUUCUCCGCUACAAUAACACGUCUCACUCCGAACAUCAGACAGAUGGGUGAGGCAGGAGAUGCGUCAAACUAACAGCACUAUGCUAUUUAUACAAACACAGGCUGAACUAUUAUCACUGUUAUUUGGAGUGGAGUGGAAUGAGUUGUC
Molecule: long non-coding RNA, 1201 nt
Organism: Oncorhynchus tshawytscha (Chinook salmon)
Lineage: Eukaryota; Metazoa; Chordata; Actinopteri; Salmoniformes; Salmonidae
Source: Ensembl